CAAAAACAUCGCCUCUUGAAACACAAAACAUAAGAGGUCCCGCCUGCCCAGUGACUUUAAGUUUAACGGCCGCGGUAUUUUGACCGUGCAAAGGUAGCGCAAUCACUUGUCCUUUAAAUGAAGACCUGUAUGAAUGGCACCACGAGGGCUCAACUGUCUCCUUUCUCCUGUCAAUGAAAUUGAUCUCCCCGUGCAGAAGCGGGGAUAAAACCAUAAGACGAGAAGACCCUAUGGAGCUUUAGGCACCAGAACAGACUAUGUUAAGCACCCUAAACACAAAAGACAAAACUAACUAGACCCUAUUCCAAUGCCUUUGGUUGGGGCGACCGCGGGGAAAUAAAAAACCCCCAUGUGGACCAAGAGCACAUCACUCUUACAACCCAGGGCUACAACCCUAAGUAACAGAACUUUCUGACCAGAAUGAUCCGGUAAAACCGAUCAACGAACCGAGUUACCCUAGGGAUAACAGCGCAAUCCCCUUCUAGAGCCCAUAUCGACAAGGGGGUUUACGACCUCGAUGUUGGAUCAGGACAUCCUACUGGUGCAGCCGCUAUUAAGGGUUCGUUUGUUCAACGAUUAAAGUCCUACGUGA
RNAcentral lists this ribosomal RNA (592 nucleotides) under Symphysodon sp. 'imperial blue discus'. Its description in RNAcentral is "partial 16S ribosomal RNA". It matches the Rfam family "Bacterial large subunit ribosomal RNA", at positions 1808 to 2603 of the family's 2925-position model. Lineage: Eukaryota; Metazoa; Chordata; Actinopteri; Cichliformes; Cichlidae. RNAcentral also lists the same sequence under 2 other names. The record is from RNAcentral.